Molecule: long non-coding RNA, 846 nt
Organism: Galeopterus variegatus (Sunda flying lemur)
Lineage: Eukaryota; Metazoa; Chordata; Mammalia; Dermoptera; Cynocephalidae
Exons: 2
Source: RefSeq, a predicted model, not a curated record
UGAUGGAAACAUAUUUCAGAUGGGUAAACUAUAAGAAUCUUAAUGGGAGGCAGGAGAGUAGUAGUAGAAAAGGAAAUCUUCUUGAUUCUUUCUGUUGGGGGAGAAAAGCAUUUGAUAUCUGUGAACAGCAAAUAGGCUUUCACUCUAGUGUAAACUAUCAUUGAUAAAUAAUGAUCCCGUGCUGAGCACCAGGGACCUUGUUACUGCCAAACAGGAAGAAUACCCUGAUAGUCCUUUUGAACACAUCGCCUGAAACAUAUUAAUGCUUAAACCUUCAAAAUGUUUUAAAAGAUGUACUUUCUAAGUCCCUAUCAGUAGCCAGUCCUGUCAAUCAAGCCUUGUCUUUUCAAGUAAAUUCAUGGAAACUGUUUAGGUUUUAGGUACUUUAUUUGAGGUGGGGAUUGUAAUUUUAGUAGUUUUAGUGCUGGGUGUAAACAGAGACCCCUGACCUUUGCACUGCAUAUCACAUUCUGAGUUGGGUCAACUCAGUAGUUAGUACCAUCUUCUACCUGCAGGUGGUAGAGUUUCUUUAUAGUUCCAUAAAGUGGUGCCCCAUUUCAGCCCCUGGACCUUAACUGGAUCCUGCCCUAUAAGGUGCUAUAAAACCGGAACAAUGUGUGAAACUAUACGGGUCAAACAGCAUCCCCUAAAUAUAAGUAUUUCUGAGGUAAAAGUGCCACAUGGCUUUCUUAUCUUAGAACAGAGUUAACUUUGUUCUAUCCACAGUGUCACAAACAACUCAGGGUAUGUUUGUAUUUCCUUUUCUACAUGUGGAAAGGAGGGGAAGUAGAGGUUUUUAAUGGGUCUGCCUCUAAAUGUAUUUAUAUAAAUACUCUGAUUUCUGUA